CGGGCCAUGUCCAUUGAACAAUUUAUAAUCUAGAGAUUGAUUUUGCCUACACUGCUGCUUUGCACAGUUCAAUCGCAUCUUUGAUUAUAAUCAUAUAUCAUAAAAGAUGAAAAGAUGAAUUGCGUGACAGGUGAGUCUAAUGGUUCCUUGGAGUGUGGUAGUUGUAGUCCUGGAAGACUUUUCCUCCUGCCAUUCAAGUCUCGUUCUUAUUUUUUCAUUGCCGUCCGAAAUAGUGCACCCCUUAAAAUUGACGGGCCAAGAAUUUGAGAAGCCUAACACAAUGAUUGUAACCAUAGAGACUCCUUUGUUCUUAGUUGGCACGCAACUGAUGGCUAGCAACUAAAUUCAA
Molecule: unclassified non-coding RNA, 349 nt
Filed under: Hevea brasiliensis (rubber tree)
Lineage: Eukaryota; Viridiplantae; Streptophyta; Magnoliopsida; Malpighiales; Euphorbiaceae
Source: RNAcentral